Molecule: long non-coding RNA, 1381 nt
Filed under: Lonchura striata (white-rumped munia)
Lineage: Eukaryota; Metazoa; Chordata; Aves; Passeriformes; Estrildidae
Description: domestica (Bengalese finch) lncRNA (ENSLSDG00000014777.1)
Source: RNAcentral
NNNNNNNNNNNNNNNNNNNNNNNNNNNNNNNNGAUGUGGUCCCUGGGGGGAUUUUAGGGAUGUGGUCCCUGGGGGGAUUUUAGGGAUGUGGUCCCUGGGGGGAUUUUAGGGAUGUGGUCCCUGGGGGAUUUUAGGGAUGUGGUUCCUGAGGGGAUUUUAGGGAUGUGGUCCCUGGGGGAUUUUAGGGAUGUGGUCCCUGGGGGUGCAGGGGUUGUGCUGUCGUGGGGGGCGAUGCCGAGGGAUGUGGUGGAGACACCCGGGGAGGUGACAGCACAGCGGCCCUGGGAGCAGGGACAGGGGGCUGCGGUGGGUGUAGCCCUGCAGGAGGAGCCUGGGGAUGCAGGAGGAGCAGAGCCAUGGGAAUGCUGGGGAAAUACGAGACUGGGGGGUCCAGGUGGCUGCAGGGGCAUCCAUGGGAGUGGCUCUGGGCAUGUGGGGGACAGGAGCAGCCAUGGGUGUGCCAGGAAGGGGACACAGCCUUGGAGCAGCCCCGUGCUGGACAGGCAGGAGGGAUCCAGGCCCCAUGGGGUUUUUGGCCAAGAUUCCUUCCAAAUGCCAGCUUGGAAUUCCAGCACUGCUGCUGCUUGUGCUCAGCAUCCUGCUCAUCCCGUCCUGCUCAUCCCGUCCUGCUCAUCCCGUCCUGCUCAUCCCACCCUGCUCAUCCCAUCCUGCUCAUCCCAUCCUGCUCGUCCCAUCCUGCUCAUCCAUCCCAUCCUGCUCAUCCCAUCCUGCUCAUCCCGUCCUGCUCAUCCCGUCCUGCUCAUCCCAUCCUGCUCAUCCCAUCCUGCUCUUCUCAUCCUGCUCAUCCCGUCCUGCUCAUCCCACCCUGCUCAUCCCAUCCUGCUCAUCCCGUCCUGCUCAUCCCGUCCUGCUCAUCCCAUCCUGCUCUUCUCAUCCUGCUCAUCCCAUCCUGCUCGUCCCAUCCUGCUCAUCCCACCCUGUUCAUCCCACCCUGUUCAUCCAUCCCAUCCUGCUCAUCCCACCCUGCUUGUCCCAUCCUGCUCAUCCCAUCCUGCUCAUCCCGUCCUGCUGAGGAUCUCUGGGACACUCCCGGGGCCAGCAGGGGCUGACAGCAGGGACAGGACCGUGGUGAUGGAGCUGCUGCUCCUCUCCAGCCAGGAGCUUCCAGCACAAACUCAGAGCAUCCCUGCAGCCAAGCACAUCCCUGCUGCCGCACCAUUCCGGGCUGGAUCCGUCCCUAUGGAGUGCUGCCUUCCCGCACACCCGGGCCAGAGCAGAUUGGGACUCUACUUUCCCUCCAUCCCUUGUCCCAGGUCCCUCUCCAGCUCUCCUGGAGCCCCUUUGGGCCCUGCAAGGGGCUCGGAGCUCUCUCUGGAUCCUUCCCUUCUCCAGCUGAACACCCCCGGCUCUCCCAGCCUGG